UUGCUUAGUUCUUAUACUACAGUUCCAGUGGCAACAUGGCCUUUAAAAUACAUUGAGAGGAAGUUGCGGCUAACUUCACGCUUCACGCGGCUUGACGCUUCCGUUUCCAUUAUUCAACAUGGCGCUCCUGAACAAGUCUGCCUGCAUGAGUAAAGUUUCUUUUAAUCGGCAUAAUAAUUGUACUUUGUUGUGUUUGUUGACCUGAAUUGUUACAAUGAGAGCUAAAGAAGCACUUGCUCGUCAUUUACGGUUUAAUAGCGAUAGUUUGGACGUUGCCGGUGUUCUUUGUUUCCCAGAAUUCCUAAGCCAGACCUGAAGUAAUACAAGGACGACUAAAUGUCGCGUUAUUUA
Dendroctonus ponderosae (mountain pine beetle) is the source of this 351-nucleotide long non-coding RNA. RefSeq lists it as uncharacterized. The transcript is spliced from 2 exons. NCBI's taxonomy places the organism in Eukaryota, Metazoa, Arthropoda, Insecta, Coleoptera, Curculionidae. The record is from RefSeq and is a predicted model, not a curated record.